Non-coding RNA from Bos taurus (domestic cattle), 71 nucleotides. NCBI's taxonomy places the organism in Eukaryota, Metazoa, Chordata, Mammalia, Artiodactyla, Bovidae. The record is from Rfam.
CCUUGAUAAUUCAGUUGGUAAAGAAUCUGCCUGCAAUGCAGGAGACCUUGGUUCAAUUCCUGGAUCAGGAA